This 301-nucleotide ribosomal RNA is filed under the name uncultured bacterium. RNAcentral's name for it is "partial 16S ribosomal RNA". It matches the Rfam family "Bacterial small subunit ribosomal RNA", at positions 509 to 807 of the family's 1533-position model. The record is from RNAcentral.
CAGUCGCCGCGGGAAUACAGAGGGUGCGAGCGUUAAUCGGAUUUACUGGGCGUAAAGCGUGCGUAGGCGGCUAAUUGAGUCGGAUGUGAAAUCCCCGAGCUUAACUUGGGAAUUGCAUUCGAUACUGGUUAGCUAGAGUGUGGGAGAGGAUGGUAGAAUUCCAGGUGUAGCGGUGAAAUGCGUAGAGAUCUGGAGGAAUACCGAUGGCGAAGGCAGCCAUCUUGCCUAACACUGACGCUGAGGUACGAAAGCAUGGGGAGCAAACAGGAUUAGAUACCCCUGUAGUCCCUGUCUCUUAUAC